This is a long non-coding RNA of Cyprinus carpio carpio, 684 nucleotides long. The record is from Ensembl. Lineage: Eukaryota; Metazoa; Chordata; Actinopteri; Cypriniformes; Cyprinidae.
UUUACCUCAAAGCUGACUGUUAUUCAGCCAGACACUCUUCAGUGACUCCAGGCAAAAAAGCAUUGAAGUCUUCAGUGAGGUUCAAUCCGAAAGCAGUUACAGAUUACAGUAUUCUCAACUGUCAUCGACUAUCCUGCGCCUCGGGACUCCACUGUUCCAGCUUUGCCUCGUCCCUCUGGCUCCGUCAGGCUCCUUCAUCCCCUCGGCUUCUCCUUAGUCCCCUGUCGCUCUGGUUCCACCACGGCCUCCCGGAUCCACACCUUCGAGUCGGUCGCCAGCGCCAUCUGCUCCGCCUAGGACCUCCGGAUCAUCCCCAUUGUGCUGGCCUAUCAGCUUUCUGUCUCUGCCUUGGGCUCCUCCACCACCUGCUCCGCCACUGUUGGUUGCCCCCCUGGAGUCGGCAGUCAUUUGUACAUCUCUCUCUCUCUCUCUCUCUCUAUAUAUAUAUAUAUAUAUAUAUAUAUACACAUUUAGUCAUUUAGCAGACGCUUUUAUUCAAAGCAACUUACAAAAAAUGAGGACAAUGGAAGCAAUCAAAAUCAACAAAAGAGCAAUGAUAUACAAGUGCUAAUAACAAGUCUCAGCUAGUUUGAUGCAGUACACAUAGCAAGCGUUUUUUUUAAAUAAUAUAAUAAAUAAAAAGAAAAAAGAGAAUAGAAAAAGAAUGGAGCAAGCUAGUGUUAG